This 75-nucleotide transfer RNA is filed under the name Nitrososphaerota archaeon. RNAcentral's name for it is "Thaumarchaeota archaeon (hot springs metagenome) tRNA-Val". It matches the Rfam family "tRNA". From Rfam's summary of the family: Transfer RNA (tRNA) molecules are approximately 80 nucleotides in length. Their secondary structure includes four short double-helical elements and three loops (D, anti-codon, and T loops). The record is from RNAcentral. Lineage: Archaea; Thermoproteati; Nitrososphaerota. RNAcentral also lists the same sequence under 1 other name.
GGGCCGGUGGUGUAGCCUGGUUAGCACGUCGCCCUCACACGGCGGAGAUCGCCGGUUCGAAUCCGGCCCGGCCCA